GACGAACGCUGGCGGCGUGCUUAACACAUGCAAGUCGAACGGAAAGGCCCUGCUUUUGUGGGGUGCUCGAGUGGCGAACGGGUGAGUAACACGUGAGUAACCUGCCCUUGACUUUGGGAUAACUUCAGGAAACUGGGGCUAAUACCGGAUAGGAGCUCCUGCUGCAUGGUGGGGGUUGGAAAGUUUCGGCGGUUGGGGAUGGACUCGCGGCUUAUCAGCUUGUUGGUGGGGUAGUGGCUUACCAAGGCUUUGACGGGUAGCCGGCCUGGGGGGGUGACCGCCCACAUGGGACCGGGGCGCGGCCACAGACCCCAACGGGGGGAAGUGGGGGAGAAUUUGACACAGUGGGGGGGAGCUUGAGCAAGCAGCCCCGGGGGCGGAAGGACGUCUUGGGGUUUGAAACCCCUUUGCCCCGGUGACGAGGGGGGAGUGAGGUAAAGGGAAAAAGAAGCCCCGGCUACCUACGUG
This 468-nucleotide ribosomal RNA is filed under the name uncultured bacterium. RNAcentral describes it as "partial 16S ribosomal RNA". It matches the Rfam family "Bacterial small subunit ribosomal RNA", at positions 28 to 507 of the family's 1533-position model. The record is from RNAcentral.